This 253-nucleotide ribosomal RNA is filed under the name uncultured bacterium. RNAcentral describes it as "partial 16S ribosomal RNA". It matches the Rfam family "Bacterial small subunit ribosomal RNA", at positions 524 to 776 of the family's 1533-position model. The record is from RNAcentral.
UACGAAGGGUGCAAGCGUUAAUCGGAAUUACUGGGCGUAAAGGGCGCGUAGGCGGCCUCUUAAGUCGAACGUGAAAUCCCCGGGCUCAACCCGGGAACUGCGUCCGAUACUGGGAGGCUUGAAUCCGGGAGAGGGAUGUGGAAUUCCAGGUGUAGCGGUGAAAUGCGUAGAUAUCUGGAGGAACACCGGUGGCGAAGGCGGCAUCCUGGACCGGUAUUGACGCUGAGGCGCGAAAGCUAGGGGAGCAAACGGG